AAAAUUUUAGUUUAAAGUAUAAGUAUAAAAUAAUUCAUUUACAUUGAAUAGAUUAAUUAAAAAAUUAAGAUUUUA
This 75-nucleotide transfer RNA is filed under the name Acropyga panamensis. RNAcentral's name for it is "tRNA-Val". The record is from RNAcentral. Lineage: Eukaryota; Metazoa; Arthropoda; Insecta; Hymenoptera; Formicidae.